RNAcentral lists this ribosomal RNA (497 nucleotides) under uncultured bacterium. Its description in RNAcentral is "partial 16S ribosomal RNA". It matches the Rfam family "Bacterial small subunit ribosomal RNA", at positions 28 to 507 of the family's 1533-position model. The record is from RNAcentral.
GAUGAACGCUGGCGGCGUGCCUAAUACAUGCAAGUCGAACGAACAGACGCGGCGCUUGUUCCUUUCUCGUUAGCGGAACACGGGAGAGACACACGUGUAUACCCCCCUUAUCUGUCUGGGAUCACUUCGAGACACCGGCGCUUACCCCGGAUAAUAUAUUGCAGCGUAUGGUUCAAUAGUAAAAGUCGGUUUUGCUGUCUCUUAUAGCUGGAUCUGCGCCGCAUUAGCUAGUUGGUAAGGUAACGGCUUACCAAGGCGACUAUGCGUAGCCGACCGGAGAGGGGGAUCGGCCGCACGGGAGCUGAGACAGCGACCAGACGCCUACGGGAGGCAGCAGUAGGGAAUCGGACGCAAUAGGCGAAAGCUUGACGGAGCAACGCCGCGUGAGUGAUGAAGAUCUUCGGAGCGGAAAGCUCUGUUAUGAGGUAUGAACAGAUGUGUAAGGAACUAUACACUGCGUGACGGUACCGGAUCAGAAAGCCACGGCUAACUACGUG